Molecule: ribosomal RNA, 1522 nt
Filed under: Mycobacterium tuberculosis TKK_03_0029
Lineage: Bacteria; Bacillati; Actinomycetota; Actinomycetes; Mycobacteriales; Mycobacteriaceae
Description: bacterial SSU rRNA
Rfam family: Bacterial small subunit ribosomal RNA
Source: RNAcentral
AGAGUUUGAUCCUGGCUCAGGACGAACGCUGGCGGCGUGCUUAACACAUGCAAGUCGAACGGAAAGGUCUCUUCGGAGAUACUCGAGUGGCGAACGGGUGAGUAACACGUGGGUGAUCUGCCCUGCACUUCGGGAUAAGCCUGGGAAACUGGGUCUAAUACCGGAUAGGACCACGGGAUGCAUGUCUUGUGGUGGAAAGCGCUUUAGCGGUGUGGGAUGAGCCCGCGGCCUAUCAGCUUGUUGGUGGGGUGACGGCCUACCAAGGCGACGACGGGUAGCCGGCCUGAGAGGGUGUCCGGCCACACUGGGACUGAGAUACGGCCCAGACUCCUACGGGAGGCAGCAGUGGGGAAUAUUGCACAAUGGGCGCAAGCCUGAUGCAGCGACGCCGCGUGGGGGAUGACGGCCUUCGGGUUGUAAACCUCUUUCACCAUCGACGAAGGUCCGGGUUCUCUCGGAUUGACGGUAGGUGGAGAAGAAGCACCGGCCAACUACGUGCCAGCAGCCGCGGUAAUACGUAGGGUGCGAGCGUUGUCCGGAAUUACUGGGCGUAAAGAGCUCGUAGGUGGUUUGUCGCGUUGUUCGUGAAAUCUCACGGCUUAACUGUGAGCGUGCGGGCGAUACGGGCAGACUAGAGUACUGCAGGGGAGACUGGAAUUCCUGGUGUAGCGGUGGAAUGCGCAGAUAUCAGGAGGAACACCGGUGGCGAAGGCGGGUCUCUGGGCAGUAACUGACGCUGAGGAGCGAAAGCGUGGGGAGCGAACAGGAUUAGAUACCCUGGUAGUCCACGCCGUAAACGGUGGGUACUAGGUGUGGGUUUCCUUCCUUGGGAUCCGUGCCGUAGCUAACGCAUUAAGUACCCCGCCUGGGGAGUACGGCCGCAAGGCUGAAACUCAAAGGAAUUGACGGGGGCCCGCACAAGCGGUGGAGCAUGUGGUUUAAUUCGAAGCAACGCGAAGAACCUUACCAGGUCUUGACAUCCUCUGAAAACCCUAGAGAUAGGGCUUCUCCUUCGGGAGCAGAGUGACAGGUGGUGCAUGGUUGUCGUCAGCUCGUGUCGUGAGAUGUUGGGUUAAGUCCCGCAACGAGCGCAACCCUUGUCUCAUGUUGCCAGCACGUAAUGGUGGGGACUCGUGAGAGACUGCCGGGGUCAACUCGGAGGAAGGUGGGGAUGACGUCAAGUCAUCAUGCCCCUUAUGUCCAGGGCUUCACACAUGCUACAAUGGCCGGUACAAAGGGCUGCGAUGCCGCGAGGUUAAGCGAAUCCUUAAAAGCCGGUCUCAGUUCGGAUCGGGGUCUGCAACUCGACCCCGUGAAGUCGGAGUCGCUAGUAAUCGCAGAUCAGCAACGCUGCGGUGAAUACGUUCCCGGGCCUUGUACACACCGCCCGUCACGUCAUGAAAGUCGGUAACACCCGAAGCCAGUGGCCUAACCCUCGGGAGGGAGCUGUCGAAGGUGGGAUCGGCGAUUGGGACGAAGUCGUAACAAGGUAGCCGUACCGGAAGGUGCGGCUGGAUCACCU